Molecule: microRNA precursor, 206 nt
Organism: Oryza sativa Indica Group (long-grained rice)
Lineage: Eukaryota; Viridiplantae; Streptophyta; Magnoliopsida; Poales; Poaceae
Rfam family: MIR812 microRNA precursor family
Source: Rfam
AAAAAGGCGAACCCUGGGUUUUCGUGUCCAACUUUGACUGUCCGUCUUAUAUGAAAUUUUUUUAUAAUUCGUAUUUUUAUUGUUGUUAAAUGAUAAAACAUGAUUAAUACUUUGUGCGUGACUUAUCUUUUUAAUUUUUUUCAUAAUUUUUUCAAAUAAGACGGGCGGUCAAACGUUAGGCACGGAAACCAGAGUUUGUCUUUUUU